AACACGCACAGAGCUUCAUCCAUCUUGUUUUGUAGAUCUGUCAAUGUUGAUAAUUUAUGUUUGUGUAUGAGUGAAUAGUUAUUUGUAAUAACCUAUUUUAUGUAUUUAAAUUUAUGAUCGUGAAUAAUUCAUCAUGACUUGGGGGUUUGUGACGUGUGGUCCUAACGAGGCGUUAGUUGUAUCAGGAUGUUGCUACACUAAACCACUUCUAGUUCCUGGUGGAAGAGCGUUCGUUUGGCCAACUAUACAAUGUGUACAGAGGAUAUCUCUGAACACCAUGACUCUUCAAGUGGACAGUCCAACAGUUUAUACCAGCCAGGGCGUUCCAAUAUCUGUUACUGGAAUAGCACAGGUAAAAAUCCAGGGUCAAAAUGAAGAAAUGCUUCUAGCAGCUUGUGAACAGUUUCUGGGCAAGACAGAUGCUGAAAUUCAAAAUAUUGCGUUAGUUACAUUGGAAGGACACCAGAGGGCGAUCAUGGGCAGUAUGACAGUCGAGGAAAUCUACAAAGAUCGAAAAAAGUUCAGCAAACAGGUGUUCGAAGUGGCGUCAUCCGAUCUGGUCAAUAUGGGCAUCACUGUUGUUUCUUACACACUCAAAGACAUCAGAGAUGAAGAGGGAUACUUGAAAAGUUUGGGAAUGGCGAGAACAGCAGAAGUGAAACGAGAUGCAAGAAUAGGCGAGGCGGAGGCCAGGAGAGACGCCAGAAUAAAGGAGGCAAUAGCUGAAGAAGAACAGAUGGCAUCAAGAUAUUUGAACGACACCGAAAUAGCGAAAGCACAGCGAGAUUUCGAACUGAAAAAAGCCGCUUAUGAUAUGGAGGUCCAAACAAAGAAAGCGGAAGCAGAGCUGGCGUACGAGCUGCAAGCGGCAAAGACGAAGCAGCGCAUCAAGGAGGAGCAGAUGCAGAUCAAGGUGGUGGAGCGCACACAGGAGAUCGCCGUGCAAGACCAGGAGAUUCAGCGGCGCGAACGCGAGCUGGAGGCAACCAUUCGCCGGCCGGCUGAGGCCGAGAAGUACAGAUUGGAGAAGCUGGCAGAGGCGAACCGGAAGCGGGUGAUAAUGGAGGCGGAAGCAGAGGCGGAGUCGGUGCGCGUGCGCGGAGAGGCGGAGGCAUUCGCCGUGGAGGCCAAGGCGCGCGCCGAGGCAGAGCAGAUGCUGAAGAAGGCGGAAGCCUGGCGCGAGUACCACGACGCCGCUGUCAUUGAUAUGCUCCUCGAAACACUGCCUAAGGUUGCGGCCGAGGUGGCAGCGCCACUGUCGCAGGCGAAGAAGAUCACGAUGGUGUCGUCGGGCGGAGGGGAGGUGGGUGCCGCCAAGCUGACAGGGGAGGUGCUCGACAUUGUCGCCAAGGUGCCCGACCUCGUCAAAAGCAUGACCGGGGUCAACAUCAUGAAGCAAUUACCGGCGGCAUGAGUCAGAUGUGUGUAACAAAAAUAUGCAAUUUGAUGAAAAUUCAAUGUAUAAUUAAUUGUAAACAAGAAUGUGGAAUCAAUGUAAUCUAUUCCCAUUCAAGACAACCGCUGCCAUUCAGCAUUGUGUUCUGUAUGAUUCCAUUCAUUAAAUUUGUAGCUUUGUUAAAUUAGUUGCAGCCUAUCGUGAUAGAAUAAUCCAAGUGCAGCUUAAAGUGUUAAUCAAUUUCGUCCUUGAUGCUUUAAAAAUAUAUUGAAUAAUUGCAGUGCCAAAUAGACAAUCAUAAUGGAUUAUAUUAAAUUAUAGUAACAAAAAUAGAUAAUUCACAAACUUUGCCGUAUAACGUGGAUACAACUAGGGAUGAAUCUCAAAAGUUAAGAAAAGAAUCAAGAUUUUAAAAGAAAUAUUUAUUUAUUGGAAUCUCUUAUGUCUGAAACUAUUAUAACUUGAAUUAUCUCAUUAGAGUACACAGUUGAAGCCUUCUAGUUAAGUAACUGUUUUGCUAUCAUUUAAAUCAAUUGAAUCUGUAUUAUUAGAAUUUUAUUUCUUCACUGGAAGCUGACAAAAUUCUUGAAUGAUUUUCCAAUUAUCAAGGUUGAAGACUCCUCAAGUUUUUAACUCUAUUGCAAUUUCCAUUUGUGAGGCUAUUGAUUGUGUUGAAAAAUUACCGCGAACAUAAAACACCAAUUUUGUACGAACCAAUGUGUGUACUAGAAAUUCUUCCUUUUUAAAUGUGCCAAAAUUUUAAAAGCUUUUAGAGAUCUUCCAAAUUAUCAGUUUCUAGUCAAAACUAUUCCCUGCUUCUAAAUGUAGGGUUUUCUAUUAAAUCUAUUUCUAAUCGAAUAUAUAGGAAUUGUUUUCAAAUUAUAUAGAUACUCUGCUGAAUGGUUAGGGUCUCUAAUCAAACCUAUUUAGCUUAGUAUGAAGAAGCCUUAUUAACAAAAAAUAUAUGAAAAUAUAUGUUAUAAGAUACAGAAAUAUAAAAACAGAUGCUAUAAAGUUGUUUUGAGAGAUUGUACCAAAUAUAGUUGGAAUGCUUGAGAACGAAUGUGUUCAUAUAUAUUAUAAAUAUAUUAAUUAUUGUUCAUUACAGAAUGAUUAUUAUAUAUUGUUUGAUAACCAUUAAUUUUAAAAUUCAAAUUAUUCAAGUCAUGCUUUCAAUGUCUACAAUAUCUGCAUAUGAUGGUCAGAAUUUUUCAAGUUUUGAAAUAUUGUUUUCAAAUGUUGACUAAUUGACUAUCUUCUCUGUUUUUCUACCGUGGCAGGUACUUAAUAUUAGAGCUCUGUUAAGCACAAUUUUUACUUGGAACAAUAUCCAUUAGUCUAUAUCUAUGUUAAAACAGUCUAGUUUUCUAACAGAAUAUGGUACAAAGCUUUUAUUCUAAGAUGAAAAAGCGGUUGAAAUCAACUUCAAAUAUCAGAAAAGUAGAUUUUUAUUAGAACCAUACUAAAAUAUACAUCAAACAAACUUCAAAUUUAUGUGUAAAUUUGUCAUGUUAACAAAUUAAAUUUUCUUGAAAUAUUAAUGGAUAGGACUGUUUGAAUUAUUUGUGUAAAUUUAGCUCUCUUCAAACUGAAUAUAUCUUCUCAAAAUAUCCAGAAAGAACUCCUGAAGUAUUCUUAGAAGAAUAUGGCAGUUUGAGAACUUGAAUCAAAUUCCUGAAGACUUUUUUCACUCAUUGAAAGUGUCCGCACCCGGCUUUCGCACGGACAGUUUUCUCUGACGGGGCGACAACGGCGCAUCUCCGUCAGUCGUGGCCGCUGCGGCAGCUCACUUCAAACUGAAGACGACGCGCAUCGACGGCGGCGCAGGCCAGGGCGCAUGCACAGAAACCGGCCAAUCAGCAGCCGGCAGCCACGCGUGAGCUGGCACAAACCACGCCCCCUUCUCCCUCCACCAACGACACGCCGUCCAAGUCAACUCGUUACUUUGCUGGCGCCCUGUACAAUAUUAUGCCAAUGAACAGUCCAUUUGGCUUUGUAUUAUUAAAAUUAUAAACUGGAAAAUAACUGUUGACCCUCUGCAUUUUAUGACAAAAAAUAGAACAAACAAUCUUUAGUGAGUGAUGUCAUCUCAUUGCAUUCAAGUGAAUGAACAAUAAACCAUUGUUCAGAUUGAAAUGAGAGUGGGCGUGCAAGUUAGGGUAAAAUGCAAUAAGAUACUAUGUUUUUUCUUUGGUCAGAGAAAUUAAUCAAAUGGUUGUCAGUAAUUUUCCAUUCUUUAGUACAGUUUCAGUAGGGGUUCUACUGAAAAUAAGUUUGUUCAACAUCACCCACUGGUCAUUCCUAGUCAAAUUUUGUCAUCAGUACCAAAUAUUAUUGAUAGGUAUGAUACAUUUAUAACUGAAUUUUCAUUAUUAUUUACUAAUUGCAAUGCUUUGAAUGAAACUAUACUUUUGAGUUGGUUCAUUUGUCAGAAAGGAAAGAGCAGUUUGAAACAUUAUGAUCUUAGUUUGGAAAUGUGCUUUUCUUUUAAACGUGGCAGCAGACGGAUUUGCACAACACGUUCAUGCAGCCACAUAUUUGUGAAUGCUGCUCUUAUUAAAUAAUAAUCCCUGAUAGCAGCAGUGAUCAAUACUACUGUUCUUCACCUUUUCAACUUAAACUGAGAAAGUCAUCUAGUCAAUCAUUCAAUAAUAUUGUCGAUAAUAAUAUUAGUAAACUGAAUGAAAUAUUUCUUGUCUAAAAUUAAUAGAUUACCCUCCUCCUUGAAACAAACAUUCAUAAUAUAUUAUUACCAAAGAAAACUAUUUUUCUAAGAGGUUGUCUGAUAUUUGAAGUUGAUCUAAACAAUUUGAAUAUCUUAAUUAUAUUAAUAUUUGGAUGUUUAGAUGUUAUAAAUCCUCCAGCUUGAGAAGUACUGCCAUUUGAAACUUCUAAUCGCCCGCUUUGAAGCCAAAUAUAUUGUACCGUGACUUACUUGCAUCAUCUGUAAAAUAUUGCACCGUAUUUUUACCAUUUCAUCAAAUCAUUCUAUCAUUUCUAGGCAUAUAUUUGAUUAUUUCAUAGUUAUUGUUUAGUUUAUUGUGCUAGAUGUAGAUAACAAAUUCAGUAAACAUUUCUGCAUUGAAAAUGCUCUUUAAUUAUGUCUUUUACACGAGUUUUUUCUACUUGAAAUUGUAAUUGGUGACCAAUAAUUAUGAUGUUCUUGUUAAAUAAUAUUUCUUCUAAUGAAUUCUUCAUAAAUUGGUUGAAUAAAAUCGAUAAAAAUGUAUGAAAAUCCCCUGAUUGUUAGAACAAUGUGUGUAAGUGUUGAUUAUCUAAAUAUAUAAACUUCUUGUAUGAAUGAACUAAUGAAUGUUUGUUGAAUGAUAGUAGUGCAAUUAUUUGUUCUGUAACUUGAGUUUCACCAAAAAUUUGAGUUCCAAAAUUUUAACUACCACUAAAAAAAAUUGAACUCAUGAAUAUAUUCUAUUCAAAAUAUCAGAUUCUAUUUAUGGAGAAUAAUAAUUAAAAAUUUAAUUGAUUGUUUAAUUUUGGUAAUUCAAUUUUCUAUUAACUGUGGAGAUUUCGUACAACGUCACAUCACAGUACUUACUUUUUAUAUCUUAUACAAAAUAUGAAAAAAGGUUAUAAGCAAAUGAAGGUCAGUACUGAGAGGUUUAUUCUUUGUGUCGAAAUUUAUCCUAGUACGUUUGUUCUAUUUAUAAUUUGGCUAUAAAUUAUAACUAAUUUAUAAUUAAUUAUAAAUAAGUGAACUUCAGAAUCUCAUCUUUCAACGUCAAUAACAACAUUUUCCCUUUAUUCAAUCUUUCUUUGGAAAAAAUGUUCAUAAAAUAAGUUUUCAGGAGUCUCCUGAAGUAGUUUCUGAUAUUUUACCAAUGACUGUUAAAUUUCAAGUCGUAAUAUUCUUGUUUGUUUCUAUGAAAUCUACAGUGUUUGUUGUUUUGUCAUCUUAUUAGAAAAGUAUAACUGAAAAUGAGGAAUAAAACUGACAUUUAAAAUCUGAA
RNAcentral lists this unclassified non-coding RNA (5361 nucleotides) under Nilaparvata lugens (brown planthopper). RNAcentral describes it as "flotillin-1, transcript variant X5". The record is from RNAcentral. Lineage: Eukaryota; Metazoa; Arthropoda; Insecta; Hemiptera; Delphacidae.